UGGGGAAUAUUGCACAAUGGGCGAAAGCCUGAUGCAGCAACGCCGCGUGAGUGAUGAAGGCCUUCGGGUUGUAAAGCUCUGUCUUUUGGGACGAUAAUGACGGUACCAAAGGAGGAAGCCACGGCUAACUACGUGCCAGCAGCCGCGGUAAUACGUAGGUGGCAAGCGUUGUCCGGAUUUACUGGGCGUAAAGGAUGCGUAGGCGGAUUUUUAAGUGAGAUGUGAAAUACCCGGGCUUAACUUGGGUGCUGCAUUUCAAACUGGGAAUCUAGAGUGCGGGAGAGGAGAAUGGAAUUCCUAGUGUAGCGGUGAAAUGCGUAGAGAUUAGGAAGAACACCAGUGGCGAGGGCGAUUCUCUGGACCGUAACUGACGCUGAGGCAUGAAAGCGUGGGUAGCAAACAGGAUUAGAUACCCUGGUAGUCCACGCCGUAAACGAUGAGUACUAGGUGUAGGAGGUAUCGACCCCUUCUGUGCCGCAGUUAACACAAUAAGUACUCCGCCUGGGAAGUACGAUCGCAAGAUU
RNAcentral lists this ribosomal RNA (524 nucleotides) under uncultured bacterium. RNAcentral's name for it is "partial 16S ribosomal RNA". It matches the Rfam family "Bacterial small subunit ribosomal RNA", at positions 355 to 895 of the family's 1533-position model. The record is from RNAcentral.